This 766-nucleotide ribosomal RNA is filed under the name uncultured fungus. RNAcentral describes it as "SSU rRNA". It matches the Rfam family "Eukaryotic small subunit ribosomal RNA", at positions 801 to 1591 of the family's 1831-position model. Lineage: Eukaryota; Fungi. The record is from RNAcentral.
UUGUUAGCAUGGAAUAAUGGAAUAGGACGUGUGGUUCUAUUUUGUUGGUUUCUAGGACCGCCGUAAUGAUAAAUAGGGACAGUCGGGGGCAUCAGUAUUCAAUUGUCAGAGGUGAAAUUCUUGGAUCUAUUGAAGACUAACUACUGCGAAAGCAUUUGCCAAGGAUGUUUUCAUUGAUAAGGAACGAAAGUUAGGGGAUCGAAGACGAUCAGAUACCGUCGUAGUCUUAACUAUAAACUAUGCCGACUAGGGAUCGGACGAUGUUAUCUUUUGACGCGUUCGGCACCUUUCGAGAAAUCAAAGUGCUUGGGCUCCAGGGGGAGUAUGGUCGCAAGGCUGAAACUUAAAGAAAUUGACGGAAGGGCACCACCAGGGGUGGAACCUGCGGCUUAAUUUGACUCAACACGGGGAAACUCACCAGGUCCAGACACAGUGAGGAUUGACAGAUUGAGAGCUCUUUCUUGAUUCUGUGGGUGGUGGUGCAUGGCCGUUCUUAGUUGGUGGAGUGAUUUGUCUGCUUAAUUGCGAUAACGGACGAGACCUUAACCCGCUAAAUAGCCCGUACUGCUUUGGCAGUUCGCUGGCUUCUUAGAGGGACUAUCGGCUCAAGCCGAUGGAAGUUUGAGGCAAUAACAGGUCUGUGAUGCCCUUAGAUGUCCUGGGCCGCACGCGCGUUACACUGACAGAGCCAGCGAGUAUUUCCUUGACCGGAAGGUCCGGGUAAUCUUGUUAAACUCUGUCGUGCUGGGGAUAGGGCAUUGCAUAC